Molecule: long non-coding RNA, 311 nt
Organism: Camelina sativa (false flax)
Lineage: Eukaryota; Viridiplantae; Streptophyta; Magnoliopsida; Brassicales; Brassicaceae
Source: RefSeq, a predicted model, not a curated record
GCUAUGAACGUGUUGCAGAUGCUCAUUCUUUCCUUUUAAGAAAAAAAGGAAAAAUAAAAAACUUGUCGGUUUGUCUUUUUCCAUUUUCACAUACGAUUCAUUAUUCAAUUCAAGCAAUAUUGCUCAAAUUAAACUCUGUUGGAUAAUCUGUGGAUUAAUUCGGGUUAACAGGUUUUAAAACCAUUGAAGAAUGGUCAGAUUAGAGUAGAAGAUACUGAGAGAAGAUAAGAGUUGUAUAUGAACUAAUGGUUUCAAUAAAAACGGUGUACUUUGUGGCUUUGUUAGUAUAAACCAAAGAUGGUGAGAAAGAG